RNAcentral lists this ribosomal RNA (431 nucleotides) under uncultured bacterium. RNAcentral's name for it is "partial 16S ribosomal RNA". It matches the Rfam family "Bacterial small subunit ribosomal RNA", at positions 29 to 507 of the family's 1533-position model. The record is from RNAcentral.
AACGAACGCUGGCGGCAGGCCUAACACAUGCAAGUCGAGCGCGCCUUCGGGUGAGCGGCGGACGGGUGCGUAACGCGUGGGAAUAUGCCCUUCUCUACGGAAUAGUCCUGGGAAACUGGGGGUAAUACCGUAUACGCCCUUUGGGGGAAAGAUUUAUCGGGGAAGGAUUAGCCCGCGUUGGAUUAGGUAGUUGGUGGGGUAAUGGCCUACCAAGCCGACGAUCCAUAGCUGGUUUGAGAGGAUGAUCAGCCACACUGGGACUGAGACACGGCCCAGACUCCUACGGGAGGCAGCAGUGGGGAAUCUUAGACAAUGGGGGCAACCCUGAUCUAGCCAUGCCGGGUGAGUGAUGAAGGCCUUAGGGUUGUAAAGCUCUUUCAGCUGGGAAGAUAAUGACGGUACCAGCAGAAGAAGCCCCGGCUAACUCCGUG